AUUAAACGACUCUCGGCAACGGAUAUCUCGGCUCUCGCAUCGAUGAAGAACGUAGCGAAAUGCGAUACUUGGUGUGAAUUGCAGAAUCCCGUGAACCAUCGAGUCUUUGAACGCAAGUUGCGCCCGAAGCCUUCGGGCCAAGGGCACGUCUGCCUGGGCGUCAC
This 164-nucleotide ribosomal RNA is filed under the name Koenigia nummulariifolia. RNAcentral describes it as "5.8S ribosomal RNA". It matches the Rfam family "5.8S ribosomal RNA". Rfam says of the family: 5.8S ribosomal RNA (5.8S rRNA) is a component of the large subunit of the eukaryotic ribosome. It is transcribed by RNA polymerase I as part of the 45S precursor that also contains 18S and 28S rRNA. Lineage: Eukaryota; Viridiplantae; Streptophyta; Magnoliopsida; Caryophyllales; Polygonaceae. The record is from RNAcentral.